Molecule: ribosomal RNA, 449 nt
Filed under: Corynebacterium matruchotii
Lineage: Bacteria; Bacillati; Actinomycetota; Actinomycetes; Mycobacteriales; Corynebacteriaceae
Description: bacterial SSU rRNA
Rfam family: Bacterial small subunit ribosomal RNA
Source: RNAcentral
GACGAACGCUGGCGGCGUGCUUAACACAUGCAAGUCGAACGGAAAGGCCCCCACCAUUUUUGGUGGGGGUGCUCGAGUGGCGAACGGGUGAGUAACACGUGGGUGAUCUGCCCUGUACUUCGGGAUAAGCUUGGGAAACUGGGUCUAAUACCGGAUAGGACCAUGGUUUAGUGUCUCAUGGUGGAAAAAUUAUUGUUUUGGUGCAGGAUGAGCUCGCGGCCUAUCAGCUUGUUGGUGGGGUAAUGGCCUACCAAGGCGUCGACGGGUAGCCGGCCUGAGAGGGUGGACGGCCACAUUGGGACUGAGAUACGGCCCAGACUCCUACGGGAGGCAGCAGUGGGGAAUAUUGCACAAUGGGCGCAAGCCUGAUGCAGCGACGCCGCGUGGGGGAUGACGGCCUUCGGGUUGUAAACUCCUUUCGUUAGGGACGAAGCCACACCUUUUUUGGG